Molecule: transfer RNA, 124 nt
Filed under: Nitrososphaerota archaeon
Lineage: Archaea; Thermoproteati; Nitrososphaerota
Description: Thaumarchaeota archaeon tRNA-Phe
Rfam family: tRNA
About the family: Transfer RNA (tRNA) molecules are approximately 80 nucleotides in length.
Source: RNAcentral
GCCAAGGUAGCUCAGCCUGUCCCUCCAAGGGGCUAUGGAGAGCACUCGGCUGAAGACCGAGAACGAUUCAUCCACGAUGGAUGGUUGUCGGGCGCUGCCGCAGGUUCAAAUCCUGCCCUUGGCA